GUUUUUCUUUUGGGUUCUAGUACCCCGCCUGAACUUAAGCAUAUCAAUAAAGCGGAGGAAAAGAAACCAACAGGGAUUGCCCUAGUAACGGCGAGUGAAGCGGCAACAGCUCAAAUUUAAAUCUGGCUCUUUUAGAGUCCGAGUUGUAAUUUGCAGAGGGCGCUUUGGCUUUGGCAGCGGUCCAAGUUCCUUGGAACAGGACGUCACAGAGGGUGAGAAUCCCGUACGUGGUCGCUAGCUAUUGCCGUGUAAAGCCCCUUCGACGAGUCGAGUUGUUUGGGAAUGCAGCUCUAAAUGGGAGGUAAAUUUCUUCUAAAGCUAAAUAUUGGCCAGAGACCGAUAGCGCACAAGUAGAGUGAUCGAAAGAUGAAAAGCACUUUGGAAAGAGAGUCAAACAGCACGUGAAAUUGUUGAAAGGGAAGCGCUUGCAGCCAGACUUGCUUGCAGUUGCUCAUCCGGGCUUUUGCCCGGUGCACUCUUCUGCAGGCAGGCCAGCAUCAGUUUGGGCGGUGGGAUAAAGGUCUCUGACACGUUCCUUCCUUCGGGUUGGCCAUAUAGGGGAGACGUCAUACCACCAGCCUGGACUGAGGUCCGCGCAUCUGCUAGGAUGCUGGCGUAAUGGCUGUAAGCGGCCCGUCUUGAAACACGGACCAAGGAGUCUAACAUCUAUGCGAGUGUUUGGGUGUCAAGCCCGAGCGCGUAAUGAAAGUGAACGGAGGUGGGAACCCGCAAGGGUGCACCAUCGACCGAUCCUGAAGUUUACGGAAGGAUUUGAGUAAGAGCAUGGCUGUUGGGACCCGAAAGAUGGUGAACUAUGCUUGAAUAGGGUGAAGCCAGAGGAAACUCUGGUGGAGGCUCGCAGCGGUUCUGACGUGCAAAUCGAUCGUCAAAUUUGGGCAUAGGGGCGAAAGACUAAUCGAACUUCCUUUAGGUCCA
RNAcentral lists this ribosomal RNA (936 nucleotides) under Curvularia inaequalis. Its description in RNAcentral is "partial large subunit ribosomal RNA". It matches the Rfam family "Eukaryotic large subunit ribosomal RNA", at positions 1 to 959 of the family's 3401-position model. The record is from RNAcentral. Lineage: Eukaryota; Fungi; Ascomycota; Dothideomycetes; Pleosporales; Pleosporaceae.